CUCCUACGGGGCGCAGCAGUGGGGAAUAUUGCACAAUGGGGGGAACCCUGAUGCAGCGACGCCGCGUGGGUGAAGGAGCACCUCGGUGCGUAAAGCCCUAUCGGCAGGGAAGAAACAGACGGUACCUGCAGAAGAAGCCCCGGCUAACUACGUGCCAGCAGCCGCGGUAAUACGUAGGGGGCAAGCGUUAUCCGGAUUCAUUGGGCGUAAAGCGCGCGCAGGCGGGCCGCUAAGCGGGACCUCUAAUCUUUGGGCUCAACCUCAAGCCGGGUCCCGAACUGGCAGCCUCGCGUGCGG
This 297-nucleotide ribosomal RNA is filed under the name uncultured bacterium. RNAcentral's name for it is "partial 16S ribosomal RNA". It matches the Rfam family "Bacterial small subunit ribosomal RNA", at positions 336 to 651 of the family's 1533-position model. The record is from RNAcentral.